This 494-nucleotide ribosomal RNA is filed under the name uncultured bacterium. RNAcentral describes it as "partial 16S ribosomal RNA". It matches the Rfam family "Bacterial small subunit ribosomal RNA", at positions 28 to 507 of the family's 1533-position model. The record is from RNAcentral.
GACGAACGCUGGCGGCGUGCUUAACACAUGCAAGUCGAACGGUGAAGCGCCUUCCUUUUUGGUGGGUGUGGAUGAGUGGCGAACGGGUGAGUAACACGUGAGUAACCUGCCCCCUUCUUCUGGAUAACCGCAUGAAAGUGUGGCUAAUACGGGAUAUUCUGGGUCUGUCGCAUGAUGGGUCUGGGAAAGAUAUUGUUUCGGUGGGGGAUGGGCUCGCGGCCUAUCAGCUUGUUGGUGGGGUGAUGGCCUACCAAGGCGGUGACGGGUAGCCGGCCUGAGAGGGUGGACGGUCACACUGGGACUGAGACACGGCCCAGACUCCUACGGGAGGCAGCAGUGGGGAAUAUUGCACAAUGGGCGCAAGACUGAUGCAGCGACGCCGCGUGAGGGAUGGAGGCCUUCGGGUUGUGAACCUCUUUCGCCAGUGAAGCAGGCCUGCCUCGUUUGUGGGUGGGUUGACGGUAGCUGGAGAAGAAGCGCCGGCUAACUACGUG